RNA transcript from Anopheles nili, 2106 nucleotides. RefSeq lists it as uncharacterized. The transcript has 5 exons. NCBI's taxonomy places the organism in Eukaryota, Metazoa, Arthropoda, Insecta, Diptera, Culicidae. The record is from RefSeq and is a predicted model, not a curated record.
UUUGUUUGUCUACGAAAGCGGACGCGCGUUCGUCGCUUGCCUGCGCACGAAAGUCUCAAGUCUUUCGUACCCGUUCACGCGGUCAGAUCGUUCCAGCUUCACAGCACUGCUUGUCGUCGCAUUCGAAAGGUCCUGCACGUCGUUUGUCGUCGUCGUAGAAGCUAACAAUUGCCUUACGCAUUCCAGCAUCUAACCAUGGGCAAGGUCGUAGUGUUAAUUCUUAGCCUCGUCAUCUGCCUGGUGGCUCAGCAGGCGAUGGCAAAGGAGAAGCACAUCAAGUACACCGAGAAAGAUCUGCUGCGCAAGUCGAUCGUGUACGACAAAAACACACCCGAUGUGUUCUACUGCCCUGUCAGCAAACCCACCGGCAUGGAUAAGAUGAUCGUGAGAUCACGUCCGCUACAUAAAUUGUGCGAGCACGAGGGUAAACCUCUUCCGGCGCACUACAAGUCGGACUGCUACAAUGACGUAGAUGAGUCGAACUACGCCUGCAAGGAGAAGUACAGAAUAAUGAAGCGUUUUGCGAAAGAUAACGUUGAGAUCUAAGCAGGCUCGUGCAUCACGUGUGCAGCGUUUUCUCGUGCGAGCGAUUACUAAGACCAAGCAUUCUGACUUUAUUCUACCCUACCGAACCCUUUCAAACGUUCAAUGACUUGCCCAAACCACAUAUCCCCCCGAAAGGGUCUUUGUGUACAUUUCAACUUUAAACUAAAACUUGCAUAAUAUGAAUUGUAGUUAAACUUUAUUGUUGAAAACGUUUUACUAUUCGGCCGUUAUCUUCCUCUCCGUAGAACUUUUCUUUUUUCUUUAAUCCUUUCGCACCUCAAACAAAGAACUGUACUUCAAUGUUUGCUCAACUUGCUUUCUAUCUUUUUUUGUAGUUUAUAGUCAAAUUAAACCAAUUAUAAAUAAUACCAAAUCGUAAAAUUAGACCGCAUUCUCUUCUAAAUAGCGAAAGAGAGAGCAUUGCAGAUAUUCUUUUAUGAUCGACUAAUCUACAGACAGUGAGUAAACAAACUCAAAUUAACGGUUACCAAACAAAGAUAAACAGAAAUGCCCUAAUGGGACAUUCCAUCGUUCCUAAGAAUAGGAAAUUGGGUACAUUUAAUUAUAUCCUCGAAAACUCCACGUUCUUACUUCAUAUCCACACCAAAAUUUUCGUAACAACGGUGCAGAGGUUUUAUCUGCUAAUGCUUGGUGAACUAAACUAACAAGCCGGUUUGGCCACUUUUACUUACUUUAAGAAAUGUUCCGUUGAUGUUACUAGCUAACUUUUACUAACAACCGAUGGCCAAAUACUCACAGCUUGCCGCCGGUAGAAUUAACCCUCAAACGUGACUGUGGACAUCGUUAGGCAAAAGACACUUCAAAAGACUUUCCUUGAUGUACUUACAAAACCAAAACCACGCCUCAAUGCACACAGACACAGGUUGAGAGACAUUUCUGAAAAUGAAAUAUAUAUCGCUUUGCACAAGAAAUUUCACGAAGGGUCUGUGCACCCACUCGUUACACCUUGCUGCUUUUUCGCCAGCUAAAAUCAUUACACGGGAAAUGAAGGCCUAUACACGAAAGAUGCGGCAAAAUCCACCUGGCAGCGACGAACCGUUCAAUGGACAGCGGCUGAGCAGAUUCAUGGAUAUGGACGACGACAUGAAGCGCAUUAAAUCGAAAAAGCACUGAUACAGUUCAAUGAUCGAAUGACACCUCCAACUGCUUCUGUUCGCUAUGCCAUAUUUAUAAAACACUACAAUUUAGCUUGAGAAUUUCUUGAACCGGAGAAUAAGACCCAUCCACGCACGAACGGAACGAAGAAUGGAGAAGAUUCACCGUUAAAGAACAUUUUUCAGUGAUAUUAGCCUACAUUUGCUUUGGUAAUGAACCUCGGGACGAUGGGAAUUGGUUUACAAUUGUUGAACAGUUUGUUUUAAAUGUUGCCUGUGUUGUAUAAUCAGCGGAAUAUUUCUGCUUUAGAUAUGAGUGCGUCGAAACGACCUUUUUAGUUGGCUUAUUAACAUGGCCCUUUAGCCAUGCUGGAUUUCAAACCACUAUGUUGUAGUUAACGAUGUUUGCAGUAAUUUUUACUAAAUAAAGCAGUACUACUUCUAA